GACGAACGCUGGCGGCGUGCCUAAUACAUGCAAGUAGAACGCUGAAGAGAGGAGCUUGCUCUUCUUGAAUGAGUUGCGAACGGGUGAGUAACGCGUAGGUAACCUGCCUGGUAGCGGGGGAUAACUAUUGGAAACGAUAGCUAAUACCGCAUAAAAUGGAUUAUCGCAUGAUAAUCCAUUGAAAGGUGCAAAUGCAUCACUACCAGAUGGACCUGCGUUGUAUUAGCUAGUUGGUGGGGUAACGGCUCACCAAGGCGACGAUACAUAGCCGACCUGAGAGGGUGAUCGGCCACACUGGGACUGAGACACGGCCCAGACUCCUACGGGAGGCAGCAGUAGGGAAUCUUCGGCAAUGGACGGAAGUCUGACCGAGCAACGCCGCGGGAGUGAAGAAGGUUUUCGGAUCGUAAAGCUCUGUUGUAAGAGAAGAACGAGUGUGAGAGUGGAAAGUUCACACUGUGACGGUAUCUUACCAGAAAGGGACGGCUAACUACGUG
RNAcentral lists this ribosomal RNA (497 nucleotides) under uncultured bacterium. RNAcentral describes it as "partial 16S ribosomal RNA". It matches the Rfam family "Bacterial small subunit ribosomal RNA", at positions 28 to 507 of the family's 1533-position model. The record is from RNAcentral.